This 523-nucleotide ribosomal RNA is filed under the name uncultured bacterium. RNAcentral describes it as "partial 16S ribosomal RNA". It matches the Rfam family "Bacterial small subunit ribosomal RNA", at positions 28 to 523 of the family's 1533-position model. The record is from RNAcentral.
GACGAACGCUGGCGGCGUGCCUAAUACAUGCAAGUCGAACGCUUUUUCUUUCACCGGAGCUUGCUCCACCGAAAGAAAAAGAGUGGCGAACGGGUGAGUAACACGUGGGUAACCUGCCCAUCAGAAGGGGGUAACACUUGGAAACAGGUGCUAAUACCGUAUAACACUAUUUUCCGCAUGGAAGAAAGUUGAAAGGCGCUUUUGCGUCACUGACGGAUUGACCCGCGGUGCAUUAGCUAGUUGGUGAGGUAACGGCUCACCAAGGCAACGAUGCAUAGCCGACCUGAGAGGGUGAUCGGCCACACUGGGACUGAGACACGGCCCAGACUCCUACGGGAGGCAGCAGUAGGGAAUCUUCGGCAAUGGACGAAAGUCUGACCGAGCAACGCCGCGUGAGUGAAGAAGGUUUUCGGAUCGUAAAACUCUGUUGUUAGAGAAGAACAAGGAUGAGAGUAAAAUGUUCAUCCCUUGACGGUAUCUAACCAGAAAGCCACGGCUAACUACGUGCCAGCAGCCGCCGUAA